Molecule: ribosomal RNA, 1146 nt
Filed under: Trueperella abortisuis
Lineage: Bacteria; Bacillati; Actinomycetota; Actinomycetes; Actinomycetales; Actinomycetaceae
Description: bacterial SSU rRNA
Rfam family: Bacterial small subunit ribosomal RNA
Source: RNAcentral
GAGUAAUACGUGAGUAACCUGCCCUUGUCUUUGGGAUAAGCCUGGGAAACUGGGUCUAAUACUGGAUAUUCUGCUUCUGCCGCAUGGUGGGGGUUGGAAAGAUUUUUUGGAUGGGGAUGGGCUCACGGCCUAUCAGCUUGUUGGUGGGGUGAUGGCCUACCAAGGCGUCGACGGGUAGCCGGCCUGAGAGGGUGACCGGCCACAUUGGGACUGAGAUACGGCCCAGACUCCUACGGGAGGCAGCAGUGGGGAAUAUUGCACAAUGGACGCAAGUCUGAUGCAGCGACGCCGCGUGGGGGAUGAAGGCUUUCGGGUUGUAAACUCCUUUCAGUACAGAACAAGGCCUUUUUGGUUGAGGGUAUGUGCAGAAGAAGCGCCGGCUAACUACGUGCCAGCAGCCGCGGUAAUACGUAGGGCGCGAGCGUUGUCCGGAAUUAUUGGGCGUAAAGAGCUCGUAGGCGGUUUGUUGCGCCUGCUGUGAAAGACCGGGGCUUAACUUCGGGGUUGCAGUGGGUACGGGCAGACUAGAGUGUGGUAGGGGUAAUUGGAAUUCCUGGUGUAGCGGUGGAAUGCGCAGAUAUCAGGAGGAACACCGAUGGCGAAGGCAGGUUACUGGGCCAUUACUGACGCUGAGGAGCGAAAGCGUGGGUAGCGAACAGGAUUAGAUACCCUGGUAGUCCACGCCGUAAACGUUGGGCACUAGGUGUGGGGCCUUUUCCAUGGGUUCUGCGCCGUAGCUAACGCAUUAAGUGCCCCGCCUGGGGAGUACGGCCGCAAGGCUAAAACUCAAAGGAAUUGACGGGGGCCCGCACAAGCGGCGGAGCAUGCGGAUUAAUUCGAUGCAACGCGAAGAACCUUACCAAGGCUUGACAUACACUGCGAUGUGCCAGAGAUGGUGCAGCCUUCGGGGUGGUGUACAGGUGGUGCAUGGUUGUCGUCAGCUCGUGUCGUGAGAUGUUGGGUUAAGUCCCGCAACGAGCGCAACCCUUGUCCUGUGUUGCCAGCAAGUUGUGUUGGGGACUCACGGGAGACUGCCGGGGUUAACUCGGAGGAAGGUGGGGAUGACGUCAAAUCAUCAUGCCCCUUAUGUCUUGGGCUUCACGCAUGCUACAAUGGCCGGUACAGAGGGUUGCGAGCCUGUGAGGG